AUUGAACGCUGGCGGCAGGCCUAACACAUGCAAGUCGAACGGUAACAGGAAGCAGCUUGCUGCUUUGCUGACGAGUGGCGGACGGGUGAGUAAUGUCUGGGAAACUGCCCGAUGGAGGGGGAUAACUACUGGAAACGGUAGCUAAUACCGCAUAACGUCGCAAGACCAAAGAGGGGGACCUUAGGGCCUCUUGCCAUCGGAUGUGCCCAGAUGGGAUUAGCUAGUAGGUGGGGUAACGGCUCACCUAGGCGACGAUCCCUAGCUGGUCUGAGAGGAUGACCAGCCACACUGGAACUGAGACACGGUCCAGACUCCUACGGGAGGCAGCAGUGGGGAAUAUUGCACAAUGGGCGCAAGCCUGAUGCAGCCAUGCCGCGUGUAUGAAGAAGGCCUUCGGGUUGUAAAGUACUUUCAGCGGGGAGGAAGGGAGUAAAGUUAAUACCUUUGCUCAUGGACGUUACCCGCAGAAGAAGCACCGGCGAACUCCGU
RNAcentral lists this ribosomal RNA (489 nucleotides) under uncultured bacterium. RNAcentral's name for it is "partial 16S ribosomal RNA". It matches the Rfam family "Bacterial small subunit ribosomal RNA", at positions 30 to 506 of the family's 1533-position model. The record is from RNAcentral.